Molecule: ribosomal RNA, 669 nt
Filed under: uncultured Thermoprotei archaeon
Lineage: Archaea; Thermoproteati; Thermoproteota; Thermoprotei
Description: bacterial SSU rRNA
Rfam family: Archaeal small subunit ribosomal RNA
Source: RNAcentral
CUCGGGAACUGAGGCUAAACCGCGAUAGAUCAAGAUACCUGGAAUGGUUUUUGAUCAAAAUCUAUAUGGCCUUUGGAUUGGACUGCGUCCGAUCAGGCUGUUGGUGAGGUAAUGGCCCACCAAACCUGUAACCGGUACGGGCUCUGAGAGGAGGAGCCCGGAGAUGGGUACUGAGAAAAGGACCCAGGCCCUAUGGGGCGCAGCAGGCGCGAAACCUCUGCAAUAGGCGAAAGCCUGACAGGGUUACUCUGAGUGACUUUCGCUAAGAAAGUCUUUUGACACCUCUAAAAAUGGUGUAGAAUAAGGGGUGGGCAAGUCUGGUGUCAGCCGCCGCGGUAAUACCAGCACCCCGAGUGGUCGGGACGAUUAUUGGGCCUAAAGCAUCCGUAGCCGGUUUUACAAGUCCUCCGUUAAAUCCAGCUGCUUAACAGAUGGGCUGCGGAGGAUACUAUAAGACUAGGAGGCAGGAGAGGCAAGCGGUACUCAGUGGGUAGGGGUAAAAUCCGUUGAUCCAUUGAAGACCACCAGUGGCGAAGGCGGCUUGCCAGAAUGCGCUCGACGGUGAGGGAUGAAAGCUGGGGGAGCAAACCGGAUUAGAUACCCGGGUAGUCCCAGCUGUAAACGAUGCAGACUCGGUGAUGGACUAGCUUUAUGCUAAUCCAGUGCCGC